GGUCAAGCUACAAAGGGCGCAUGGUGAAUGCCUUGGCACUAGGAGCCGAUGAAGGACGUGAUAAGCUGCGAUAAGCUUCGGGUAGGCGCAAAUAGCCUGUGAACCGAAGAUUUCCGAAUGAGGAAACUCUCAUGGGUAACCCCAUGAACUGUAUACUGAAUUCAUAGGUAUAUAGAGGUAAACCCGGGGAACUGAAACAUCUAAGUACCUGGAGGAAGAGAAAGAAAAAUCGAUUUCCUUAGUAGCGGCGAGCGAAACGGAAAGAGCCCAAACCGGAAACUUGUUUCCGGGGUUGCGGUCAGAUCAUUAAGGCUUUAUAUCUUAACCGAAGAUUUCUGGAAAGUUAAACCAUAGAAGGUAAUAGUCCUGUAGGUAAAAAGAGAAAAAAGCCCGAUCUGUACCAGAGUACCACGAGACACGUGAAACCUUGUGGGAAGCUGGGAGGACCACCUCCCAAGGCUAAAUACUACCUAGUGACCGAUAGUGAAGAAGUACCGUGAGGGAAAGGUGAAAAGAACCCAGGAGGGGAGUGAAAUAGAACCUGAAACCGUGUGUCCACAACCGAUCAAAACACGUUAAUGUGUGAUGAUGUGCUUUUUGUAGAACGAGCCAGCGAGUUACGGUAUGCAGCAAGGUUAAGCACUUAAGGUGCGCAGCCGAAGGGAAACCAAGUCUGAAUAGGGCGUAUAGUUGCAUGCUGUAGACCCGAAACCGGGUGACCUAUCCAUGGCCAGGGUGAAGCGGAAGUAAAAUUCCGUGGAGGCCCGAACCACAAUGGUGUUGAAAAACCAUGGGAUGAGCUGUGGAUAGGGGAGAAAUUCCAAUCGAACUCGGAUAUAGCUGGUUCUCCUCGAAAUAGCUUUAGGGCUAGCGCCAUGAAUGAGUACCGGAGGUAGAGCACUGAAUGAGGUAGGGGCUGACAACAGUUACCGAACUUUAUCAAACUCCGAAUGCUGGAUACUUGAAUCAUGGUAGUCAGACUGCGAAUGAUAAGAUCCGUAGUCAAAAGGGAAACAGCCCAGAUCACCAGCUAAGGUCCCAAAAGUAUAGAUUAAGUGGUAAAGGAUGUGGGAUUUCUAAGACAACUAGGAUGUUGGCUCAGAAGCAGCCAUACAUUAAAAGAGUGCGUAAUAGCUCACUAGUCAAGAGAUCCUGCGCCGAAAAUGUCCGGGGCUAAAAUCUAACACCGAAGCUGUGAACUUGUACUUCGUACAAGUGGUAGAGGAGCAUCCUGUAUGGGCUGAAGUCGUACCGAAAGGAGCGGUGGACUGUACAGGAGAGAGUAUGCUGGCAUAGUAGCGAGAACUAAGUGAGAAUCUUAGUGGUCGAAAACCUAAGGUUUCCUGGGGAAGGUUCGUCCGCCCAGGGUAAGUCGGGACCUAAGCCGAGGCCGAAAGGCGUAGGUGAUGGACAAUCGGUUGAUAUUCCGAUACCGCAGAGUAACGUUAUGAGAAAUGGGAUGACGCAGGAGGAUAGGAUAUGCGUACGUUAUUGGAAGUACGUCUAAGCACUGAGGAUGAAAGAUAGGAAAAUCCGUCUUUCGUUAAGUCUGGGGUGUAAUGGUGAGGUA
Molecule: ribosomal RNA, 1570 nt
Filed under: Clostridium acetobutylicum
Lineage: Bacteria; Bacillati; Bacillota; Clostridia; Eubacteriales; Clostridiaceae
Description: partial 23S ribosomal RNA
Rfam family: Bacterial large subunit ribosomal RNA
Source: RNAcentral